RNAcentral lists this ribosomal RNA (563 nucleotides) under Salmonella enterica subsp. enterica serovar Kentucky. RNAcentral's name for it is "bacterial SSU rRNA". It matches the Rfam family "Bacterial small subunit ribosomal RNA", at positions 968 to 1531 of the family's 1533-position model. Lineage: Bacteria; Pseudomonadati; Pseudomonadota; Gammaproteobacteria; Enterobacterales; Enterobacteriaceae. The record is from RNAcentral.
ACCUUACCUGGUCUUGACAUCCACAGAAUUCUGCAGAGAUGCGGAAGUGCCUUCGGGAACUGUGAGACAGGUGCUGCAUGGCUGUCGUCAGCUCGUGUUGUGAAAUGUUGGGUUAAGUCCCGCAACGAGCGCAACCCUUAUCCUUUGUUGCCAGCGAUUAGGUCGGGAACUCAAAGGAGACUGCCAGUGAUAAACUGGAGGAAGGUGGGGAUGACGUCAAGUCAUCAUGGCCCUUACGACCAGGGCUACACACGUGCUACAAUGGCGCAUACAAAGAGAAGCGACCUCGCGAGAGCAAGCGGACCUCAUAAAGUGCGUCGUAGUCCGGAUUGGAGUCUGCAACUCGACUCCAUGAAGUCGGAAUCGCUAGUAAUCGUGGAUCAGAAUGCCACGGUGAAUACGUUCCCGGGCCUUGUACACACCGCCCGUCACACCAUGGGAGUGGGUUGCAAAAGAAGUAGGUAGCUUAACCUUCGGGAGGGCGCUUACCACUUUGUGAUUCAUGACUGGGGUGAAGUCGUAACAAGGUAACCGUAGGGGAACCUGCGGUUGGAUCACCUCCU